UACGUAGGGACCAAGCGUUGUUCGGAUUUACUGGGCGUAAAGGGCGCGUAGGCGGCAAUUCAAGUCAUCUGUGAAAUCUCCGGGCUUAACCCGGAACGGUCAGGUGAUACUGUUUUGCUAGAGUGCGGAAGGGGCAAUCGGAAUUCUUGGUGUAGCGGUGAAAUGCGUAGAUAUCAAGAGGAACACCUGAGGUGAAGACGGGUUGCUGGGCCGACACUGACGCUGACAGCGCGAAAGCCAGGGGAGCAAACGGG
Molecule: ribosomal RNA, 254 nt
Filed under: uncultured bacterium
Lineage: Bacteria
Description: partial 16S ribosomal RNA
Rfam family: Bacterial small subunit ribosomal RNA
Source: RNAcentral